RNAcentral lists this transfer RNA (72 nucleotides) under Candidatus Roizmanbacteria bacterium RIFCSPHIGHO2_01_FULL_39_12b. RNAcentral's name for it is "tRNA-Arg". It matches the Rfam family "tRNA". From Rfam's summary of the family: Transfer RNA (tRNA) molecules are approximately 80 nucleotides in length. Lineage: Bacteria; Candidatus Roizmaniibacteriota. The record is from RNAcentral. RNAcentral also lists the same sequence under 1 other name.
GUCCCGGUAGUUCAACGGACAGAAUAGGCCCCUCCUAAGGGCCUGAUGCUGGUUCGACUCCAGCUCGGGACG